RNAcentral lists this ribosomal RNA (468 nucleotides) under uncultured bacterium. RNAcentral's name for it is "partial 16S ribosomal RNA". It matches the Rfam family "Bacterial small subunit ribosomal RNA", at positions 28 to 507 of the family's 1533-position model. The record is from RNAcentral.
GACGAACGCUGGCGGCGUGCUUAACACAUGCGAGUCGAACGGAAAGGCCCUGCUUUUGUGGGGUGCUCGAGUGGCGAACGGGUGAGUAACACGUGAGUAACCUGCCCUUGACUUUGGGAUAAUUUCAGGAAACUGGGGCUAAUACCGGAUAGGAGCUCCUGCUGCAUGGUGGGGGUUGGAAAGUUUCGGCGGUUGGGGAUGGACUCGCGGCUUAUCAGCUUGUUGGUGGGGUAGUGGCUUACCAAGGCUUUGACGGGUAGCCGGCCUGAGAGGGUGACCGGCCACAUUGGGACUGAGAUACGGCCCAGACUCCUACGGGAGGCAGCAGUGGGGAAUAUUGCACAAUGGGCGGAAGCCUGAUGCAGCAACGCCGCGUGCGGGAUGACGGCCUUCGGGUUGUAAACCGCUUUCGCCUGUGACGAAGCGUGAGUGACGGUAAUGGGUAAAGAAGCACCGGCUAACUACGUG